UACAGAGGUCCCGAGCGUUGUUCGGAUUCACUGGGCGUAAAGGGUGCGUAGGUGGUUGGGUAAGUCUGAUGUGAAAUCUCCGGGCUCAACCCGGAAAUGGCAUUGGAUACUAUUCGGCUAGAGGUUUGGAGGGGGGACUGGAAUUCUCGGUGUAGCAGUGAAAUGCGUAGAGAUGCGGAGGAACACCGAUGGCGAAGGCAGCCCCCUGGGCUGACACUGACGCUCAGGCACGAAAGCGUGGGGAGCAAACAGG
This 253-nucleotide ribosomal RNA is filed under the name uncultured bacterium. RNAcentral's name for it is "partial 16S ribosomal RNA". It matches the Rfam family "Bacterial small subunit ribosomal RNA", at positions 524 to 776 of the family's 1533-position model. The record is from RNAcentral.